Molecule: long non-coding RNA, 1778 nt
Organism: Homo sapiens (human)
Lineage: Eukaryota; Metazoa; Chordata; Mammalia; Primates; Hominidae
Gene: MIR99AHG
Product: mir-99a-let-7c cluster host gene
Source: Ensembl
GGCAGAGCAAUGGAGGAUGGAUUUGGAGCUGCAAGGCAAUAAACUGGUAACUGAACAAAGAAAAAGACAAAAUGGAUUUAGAUGGACAACUAUCUCUGCUAAACGAUUUGGGCAACGAUCUCUGCCAAACUUAAGAUAACACGCUUUCCUCACAUCCCAGCAUGAUACCUGAGAAGUACGAAUAUGCCCUGAAACUAAGAGGAGUAAGGAAACAGCGAGAGAUUAUAGAUAGCCUCAUCUUGUAAGUCUCUGGCUGUGUGAUGAGGAACGGGAGGAUGAUCUCAUGGGAGUCAGCACUGAGAGAGUGUACCUGAAGAAACCCUGUGAAUGGGGGACCAAUGACUUAGCAGUGACCUGUUUGGACAGAAAUCUACAGACCAAAAUGAAUGGUGGAUUUCUCAGCAGAUCUCAGGAGAUGCAAGUACAGAUUAUGACAUGAGGGCCAGAUGCCCUGCUCCUCUCACCCACCCCAGCAUUUGAAACCCAAUGAUGGAUCUGAGAACGCUGUCUGGGCUUGGUACCAAGAGCUGGUAUUUCACAGCAGCGACCGCCUCACAGACGAGCUGUGGGAAGCAGGAGGGAGACUCUCUCUUAGGGUGCCACUACUAUGGAGACACAGCUGGGCUGAACAAGAUUUGCUUCAAACGACAACAAGAGAGACAGAAAGUAUCUGGUUCAACCGCUGCCCGAGCAGGCAGGCACCAGAAGAGCUAGCAGCCAAUCCGGCCAUGCUCGAAGCCAGCUCUGCAGCUCAGCCAAUCAGUGACAUCAUUGCUUUCUUUAGCUUGCCCAUGGUGAUGUGAAGAUGAGAAGAAAUAGCAAGGCCCAACCAGUUCUUCAUCUGGAGACAGUUCAACGUUCUGCAAACCAGAUCUUCAGGAAUUUUACUGGGAUAAUUAUCCAAAUAAAUUGCAAGCAUUCUAUCCAAAUGGACAUCCAUAAAAAUUCAUCAGAGAGCAUUUUACUACUGAGCUGCAAAGGUAGGAAAAAUAAAUUUUUUUUGGUUAGAAAAUAUACUUCUUUCAUCUGCGUUUCAAUAAUUUAUUCCCCUUGUUAGAUAUACAUGGAAUUGAUAUUGCUUAUUCUGACUAAGUGAAAAGUGUUAUUUCUACUUACUGCUCAAUUAGAAACAUGUAGUGUUUAAUUGUCAGUUUGAAUUUUUCUUUCAUACUAUUACAGUUUAUAUUUUACUAUAGGCAGAAUUUCCUCUUUAUCCUAAAUUUUGAUAUUCUCCAUAAUUUCAUCGUGCCUUGACAUUGCUGUAUAUAAUUUCUAUACAUCAGGAAGGCAAUUCUGUGUGCAUGUGUGUGUGUAUAUAUAUAGUUAGAAGUUAGAAACUGAAACUCUUUUUUGUCUACCAUCAUUUCAUAUUUUUCUUGCUAUUUCAAACCUAUAAUUUUUAAAGAAACGACUAACGUAAUCAUUCAUAGAAUAUGCUGUCAGUAACUUAACAAUAUAAAUGUUAACAUGGAGGCAUUUAGUUCAGCAUUUGCUUUACUUAAUAGAGUGCAGAAAAUGUGGCCCUUUUCUCAGUUAGGGUGUAUGUGAAGAUAAAUUUAGAAUUUCUAGACUAGUAAAUACUUCUCUGAUAAUAACUUAAUUAUAGCUAUUUCAAACCAAAUUGUUUAAUUGUGGUGAAUCAUAUGUAAAUUGUUCAGAUGUAGGUCAACACCCACGCCCACAUUCUAGCACCUCUUUCCUAAUUCAAGACAACUUUGCAGUGCCUAAAAGAGCUGAACAGUGCAGAUUAGAGACAUAAGACAAAAAAAAAAAAAAAA